Molecule: long non-coding RNA, 3568 nt
Organism: Mustela lutreola (European mink)
Lineage: Eukaryota; Metazoa; Chordata; Mammalia; Carnivora; Mustelidae
Exons: 4
Source: RefSeq, a predicted model, not a curated record
GAGGGUAGCAGGGGACAGGGGACAGGCAGGAGGAUGGGGUGGGGGGGGGUUGCUGAGACACUCUGCACAGUCUGAUUUGAGCCACUUCUCCUCCCCACCCCUCAGGGAGGCCUUUUCAGGAUUCUGCUGCUUGUUGGCUCCCCCCAGAAGACACUUCCCUGGGACCUGGCAGUUAAGCCUGUCGGGCUCCAGAAAAGGGGGCGCUGCCUUUGGCGUCCACCUCAUGCCCGGGAGCUGAGAGUAAAGAUCUUGUUCAUUCUGCUCUGCUGGAGAGAAGACCGUUGCCAAACCAGAGCGCUCGUUUUUAUUGUUUUUCUAGAACAACAGGACUGUUAUUACAAGUGUUCUGGAACAGAGGACCGGGAAGCUAAAAACAGAUUCCACAGCAUCUUAAAAAUAGCCAGUAGCAUGUGAAUUGCUCGACUAGCAAGGCAAGACUCUUGACGUGUCUGACACAUUUGUGAACCACUGUUUGGCUACCGGUCCCCACUAUUUCGCAGCCUCCUCUUAAGAGAAAAGCCAGCACCCCUGGCCAGCUCCCAUCUCCGCCGGAAGGGCUCUGGGAUGCUGUGCUUUGAGGGUAGACACAGUUCUAGAAGGCGAGCUCUGGCCAGAAGACAGCCUGGGAGACGCAUUUCUGCCAAGGGAUGUGUGUCUCCCCCACCCCCUCUCUUCCAGGCUGCUCCCAGCACUGUCACCCCAGACAGUGAGCGCAGCACCCAGAAGGGGCAGACGGGGAGAACAUCAGAGGGGGUGCUGGGGAAGGACAGGCCCCGUGAUCAGCGGGACAUCUCGGAGGCAUUCGGAGACACAGAGACGAUCUUAUUUGUCAGAGAGAGAGCACAAGGAGGCAGAGUGGCAGGCAGAGGCCAAGAGAAGCAGGCUCCCUGCUGAGCGAGGAGCCCAAAGCAGGACUUGAUCCCAGGACCCUGGGAUCAUGACCCAGGCCGAAGGGAGCUGUUUCACCAACUGAGGCACCCAGGUGUCCAGGAUUUUUUGAUCUUUGACUGUAAUUUUCUUUUGGUGUGCUCAAUAAUUAAAAUAAAGGGAGAAAGGGAAAACAACAGGUGCAAAAUACGGAGGAAGGAGGGUUAACAUGAGUCAGUGUCUCUGGGAACAGUCAAGAAAGCAUCACGGGGCCAGCACCAGGCUGGGUUUUAAAAGAGGAGCAGAAGGUGAGUUUGCAAAAGAAGAGGUCAAGGCACCGGACGUGUGGAGGCUUGGGGUUGGGGGCAGAGAAAUGAGAGCUGCUGUCUUCUUCCAAAUGUCCUCGCAGGCUCUUAACUAACUGCUCUAGUGGGGAAACCAGCAUCCUGAUUUUUAGAUAGAACCCUGCACUUGGAACGACAUGAAAUCCUUGAGUAAAGAAAGGCUUCUCGCCACCCCAGGCCAUCUCCUGCUCCCAGCGUGAAUGUCAUUCUGUCACUUGGAGCGUGACCCGCACGGUCCCCUGCCGAUGCUGUGUUCUGGGCAGCCACGGUGAGGACGCGACACAGCACACCCAGGGGUGUGGAGUCGGCCUUGGAAGGAGCCUGGGUAGCAAACGCCCCCAACAGAGUCCUGAAGAAGGGGGGACUCACCCAAGGUCCUGCGGUGAGGAUUUCAGAGCGACCAUGUGUUGAGGGCUCUGGGGCCCUGGCCCUCUGUGACAUUCCGAUGGUUUGACCUGUAGCAGCAUUAUGGGGUAGAUCCUGAGGACCCCUAUUUGACAGACAAGGCACUGAAGCUCAGAGAGCCCAAGACACUUGCCCACAGUCACACAGCCCAUCAGUGCCAGAGCCUCAGGUGGUCUCACUGCUGAGCCCAGGCUCCCCUGACACCUGUCCUGGCACUAGGGCCACCUGUCCCGGUCCCUGGCUGUGCCCUCCAUCACCAGUGAGCCACCCCAGCCAGCAGACCAGCAGACAGUAGCACAGAUGGUUUUGGUGGCAUUGGCACAGUGUGUGCUACUGUCCCUUGAGGAUCCUCUCUCCCAGACUGAGACGGCAUCUUCCACACCCUGGAAAGAUCUCUGUCCAUCUUCAGUUUGCAAACCUGGCGCUCAUGUCCCCACCUCUAAGUGGCCGCCUGAGAAGAGGGUUAUCUGAAUGCGCGAACGCGGGGAGGCGGAACCUACGCCACUUGGACAACAUGCAUCUCUAAGUCUCUCCUGUCUGGAUGAGAUGUGAGCACCAGACACUCUUAAAGCAAACUUUGGUUGCCAUGGUAACUGGGCCUUCAGACUCUUCCCGGCUUGAACAGUGCCAGCCACGCAGCCGGGUCUUAUCUCUAACACCCAGCGCUCAGUGAGUCACUCCCGCGUCUCUGGCUGCAGGCUGCCCAACUCGGGGCGGGGUGGGGGUGGCCAAAGGGGCGAGGUGGGGCAAGGGGGGGAAGGGAAGCUCUCCUUACUGGCCGCAGCGUUCUUCAGCCUCCGGAGCAAAUUGCCAAGUCAGUACUUGGAUCCUGUCUUCCGUGUUUUGUUGGGGGAACAGGCAUCGCAAGGGGGGGGGGUGUUGCUGCCUCCCAGACCCGGCUUCUGUUUCUUUGUUUUAUUUAAGAUUUUAUUAAAUAAUCUCUUCACCCCACGAGGGGCCCGAACUCACAACUCCAAGAUCGAGAGUCGCAAGCUCCACCAACGGAGCCAGCCAGGCGCCCCCCAGCGGUGAGGGUCGGAAGUGACCCUGGUGUCCAGGGAUUAGUGGCCCCGAGGAGAGGAGCGAGCACGGGAUCAGGGUGGUGGGCCAGGCCAGGGAGAGAGUUCGGCUGUGGCUGCUCCUCUUGUGGUGCUGGCUGCCUGGGCCUGUGGCCGGUGGGGGGGUCCACAUGGCCCCCCAAGACUGUUGCCCACACCUGGGGCCCAGCAGGAAAGAAGAGAUGUGCAGGCAGUUAGCAAGGAGUCGGACAAACGGUCUCAGGUUGGAGAGUCAGGAGACAUGACAACACAACACAGGAGGGGUUCUGCACCCAAAAAUGACAGUAGGGAAACCCCAGAAAAUUGGAAUCAAGUUUGCAGGAACGUGAAUGGUAUGGGACGUACCUCAGCCAGUGCCCCGGCUCUGUAAUCCUUCUAUGGUGAUAGCACGUGUCAGCCCCCAGGGAAGCUGGGGCUCGAGGGAAACACACUGUACUAUCUUGGCAACUCUUCCAAAGAUGAUUUCAAAAUAAAAUGUUUAAAAAUCGUAUGUUUUUUCUCAUGAGAAUAAAAGGAGUUACUGCCUUUCAUAUCUUGGGACCUCCUAAACUCACUUUGCCAGAGUGCCUUAUUUCUUUGCCCGUCCCCCUGUGACACAGGCGUGUCACCCAGGCCAUGGGUGUCACCCAGGCAAAGGGCCAAGAAGCUGUAGGGAAACAGAGGAAAUAGCGGUUGACCUCUUCUUAACACUGUAACAUCUUCCUAAAUUCUUUACUGUUCCAGUUACUCAGGCAAAAACCCUGGGGUCAUCUUGAACUCCUCUCUCUCACAGCACAUCAAACAUCAGUAGUUCCCUUGGUUUGGCCUUCUGAUGACAUAGCCGGAAUCUGGCAGCUUCUGACCACCUCCACGGUCUCUCAUUCCUUGCCAGACUCCUUGCUCUCCAUCCCUAAU